Molecule: ribosomal RNA, 380 nt
Filed under: uncultured Nitrososphaerota archaeon
Lineage: Archaea; Thermoproteati; Nitrososphaerota
Description: bacterial SSU rRNA
Rfam family: Archaeal small subunit ribosomal RNA
Source: RNAcentral
UAAAACCAGCACCUCAAGUGGUCAGGAUGAUUAUUGGGCCUAAAGCAUCCGUAGCCGGCUCUGUAAGUUUUCGGUUAAAUCUGUACGCUUAACGUACAGGCUGCCGGGAAUACUGCAGAGCUAGGGAGUGGGAGAGGUAGACGGUACUCGGGAGGAAGUGGUAAAAUGCUUUGAUCUUUCGAUGACCACCUGUGGCGAAGGCGGUCUACCAGAACACGUCCGACGGUGAGGGAUGAAAGCUGGGGGAGCAAACCGGAUUAGAUACCCGGGUAGUCCCAGCUGUAAACUAUGCAAACUCAGUGAUGCAUUGACUUGUGGUCAAUGCAGUGUUGCAGGGAAGCCGUUAAGUUUGCCGCCUGGGAAGUACGUACGCAAGUAUG